RNAcentral lists this unclassified non-coding RNA (285 nucleotides) under uncultured fungus. Its description in RNAcentral is "partial contains 5.8S ribosomal RNA, internal transcribed spacer 2, and large subunit ribosomal RNA". The record is from RNAcentral. Lineage: Eukaryota; Fungi.
AACGCACAUUGCACCUAUUAGCAUUCUAGUAGGUAUGCCUGUCCGAGCGUCAUUUCGACCCUCAGGCCUGCUUCGGCGAGGCCUGGUGUUGGGGGUUAUCCCCCGCGGCGCUGGCCGCGGGGGCCCCCGAAAGCCAUCGGCGGUGCCUGCCAGCACUCCGGGCGCAGUAAAUACACCUCGCCCUGGACGUCUGGCGGCGCGCCUGCCGCUAAACGUGCCGCCCCCCCGGGCGACAGAACUUAAAUGGUUGACCUCGGAUCAGGUAGGAAUACCCGCUGAACUUAA